RNAcentral lists this ribosomal RNA (275 nucleotides) under uncultured prokaryote. RNAcentral's name for it is "partial 16S ribosomal RNA". It matches the Rfam family "Bacterial small subunit ribosomal RNA", at positions 524 to 798 of the family's 1533-position model. The record is from RNAcentral.
UACGGAGGAUCCGAGCGUUAUCCGGAUUUAUUGGGUUUAAAGGGUGCGCAGGCGGGGGAUUAAGUCGGCGGUGAAAUUUUGCAGCUCAACUGUAAAAGUGCCUUCGAAACUGGUUUCCUUGAGUGUAGAUGAAGUAGGCGGAAUUUGUGGUGUAGCGGUGAAAUGCAUAGAUAUCACGAGGAACUCCGAUUGCGCAGGCAGCUUACUAAACCAUAACUGACGCUCAGGCACGAAGGCGUGGGGAUCAAACAGGAUUAGAUACCCCUGUAGUUCCU